GCAACCGGCGCGCGGCCAAUUUUCCCCUCCAAGGGCUGCUGAAAAAAAAUUAAAAUGGUCGAGGGCGGGGGAGGCGGCUCACUUGGGAGCAUAGCAGGCGGGCCUGGCCCGGCCGGGAGACAAACAGUCUCUCCAGUUGCCCCAGGCAUUUUCCCAAUCGCUCUCUGGAACUGGCUGGAGAUGCUGAGCAACCUACCCAGGCCUCAAUUUGCCUCAGGAAAACAUGAGAAGUAGAUUGGUAAAUUUUACUUCAAACAACCAAACAAAAGGAACACUGUGAGGAGGGUGAGAUGCUGUGGUAGCCUGGAGCUUUAAAUCAGGAAGAAGGCCGCCGUAUUGUGAGUGGCCCAAGGGAGAGGCCCACGUGGCUAAGCCCUGAUGUCUUCGCCCAACAGCCGGUGAAGACGUGAAGCCUGUCAGCAUCCAUAUGGGAAACAGAUCCUUCCCAGUGGAGCCUUGAGAUAACUGCAGCCCCAACGGACACCUUGAUCACGGCCUCGUGAGAGAUCUGAACCCGAACCACCCAGCUAAGCCGGUGGUUCCUGACCCGCAGAAACUGUAAAGUAAUAAAUGUGUUAUUUAC
This is a non-coding RNA of Sus scrofa (pig), 583 nucleotides long. NCBI's taxonomy places the organism in Eukaryota, Metazoa, Chordata, Mammalia, Artiodactyla, Suidae. The record is from RefSeq and is a predicted model, not a curated record.